RNAcentral lists this ribosomal RNA (253 nucleotides) under uncultured bacterium. RNAcentral's name for it is "partial 16S ribosomal RNA". It matches the Rfam family "Bacterial small subunit ribosomal RNA", at positions 524 to 776 of the family's 1533-position model. The record is from RNAcentral.
UACAGAGGGGGCGAGCGUUGUUCGGAAUUACUGGGCGUAAAGGGCGCGUAGGCGGCCCUCUAAGUCGAACGUGAAAUCCCCGGGCUCAACCCGGGAACUGCGUCCGAUACUGGAGGGCUCGAAUCCGGGAGAGGGAUGUGGAAUUCCAGGUGUAGCGGUGAAAUGCGUAGAUAUCUGGAGGAACACCGAUAGCGAAGGCAGCUCGCUGGGACGGUACUGACACUGAGAGACGAAAGCUAGGGGAGCGAAUGGG